This 1446-nucleotide ribosomal RNA is filed under the name uncultured organism. RNAcentral describes it as "16S ribosomal RNA". It matches the Rfam family "Bacterial small subunit ribosomal RNA". The record is from RNAcentral.
GAACGCUAGCUACAGGCUUAACACAUGCAAGUCGAGGGGCAGCAUGGUCUUAGCUUGCUAAGGCCGAUGGCGACCGGCGCACGGGUGAGUAACACGUAUCCAACCUGCCGUCUACUCUUGGACAGCCUUCUGAAAGGAAGAUUAAUACAAGAUGGCAUCAUGAGUCCGCAUGUUCACAUGAUUAAAGGUAUUCCGGUAGACGAUGGGGAUGCGUUCCAUUAGAUAGUAGGCGGGGUAACGGCCCACCUAGUCUUCGAUGGAUAGGGGUUCUGAGAGGAAGGUCCCCCACAUUGGAACUGAGACACGGUCCAAACUCCUACGGGAGGCAGCAGUGAGGAAUAUUGGUCAAUGGGCGAGAGCCUGAACCAGCCAAGUAGCGUGAAGGAUGACUGCCCUAUGGGUUGUAAACUUCUUUUAUAAAGGAAUAAAGUCGGGUAUGGAUACCCGUUUGCAUGUACUUUAUGAAUAAGGAUCGGCUAACUCCGUGCCAGCAGCCGCGGUAAUACGGAGGAUCCGAGCGUUAUCCGGAUUUAUUGGGUUUAAAGGGAGCGUAGAUGGAUGUUUAAGUCAGUUGUGAAAGUUUGCGGCUCAACCGUAAAAUUGCAGUUGAUACUGGAUAUCUUGAGUGCAGUUGAGGCAGGCGGAAUUCGUGGUGUAGCGGUGAAAUGCUUAGAUAUCACGAAGAACUCCGAUUGCGAAGGCAGCCUGCUAAGCUGCAACUGACAUUGAGGCUCGAAAGUGUGGGUAUCAAACAGGAUUAGAUACCCUGGUAGUCCACACGGUAAACGAUGAAUACUCGCUGUUUGCGAUAUACAGCAAGCGGCCAAGCGAAAGCGUUAAGUAUUCCACCUGGGGAGUACGCCGGCAACGGUGAAACUCAAAGGAAUUGACGGGGGCCCGCACAAGCGGAGGAACAUGUGGUUUAAUUCGAUGAUACGCGAGGAACCUUACCCGGGCUUAAAUUGCAGAUGAAUUACGGUGAAAGCCGUAAGCCGCAAGGCAUCUGUGAAGGUGCUGCAUGGUUGUCGUCAGCUCGUGCCGUGAGGUGUCGGCUUAAGUGCCAUAACGAGCGCAACCCUUGUUGUCAGUUACUAACAGGUUCCGCUGAGGACUCUGACAAGACUGCCAUCGUAAGAUGUGAGGAAGGUGGGGAUGACGUCAAAUCAGCACGGCCCUUACGUCCGGGGCUACACACGUGUUACAAUGGGGGGUACAGAGGGCCGCUACCACGCGAGUGGAUGCCAAUCCCCAAAACCUCUCUCAGUUCGGACUGGAGUCUGCAACCCGACUCCACGAAGCUGGAUUCGCUAGUAAUCGCGCAUCAGCCACGGCGCGGUGAAUACGUUCCCGGGCCUUGUACACACCGCCCGUCAAGCCAUGGGAGCCGGGGGUACCUGAAGUGCGUAACCGCGAGGAGCGCCCUAGGGUAAAACUGGUGACUGGGGC